UCAAAAUAUAUAAUUCACCAUUUUGUAACCCUUUUUAAAAUAUAUAUAUUUUUUGAGAGAUAUGUAACAUACUGCUCAUUUUGUUUAUUUUAUUUAAAAAUAAAUUUAAUUAAAAAUGUGAAUUAAUUAGGAUUCAAUUUAGGAUCUCGAAUACUAAACACUAAGCACCUUUUGAAAUAUUAAACUAUAAUUUUACACCUUUGUAACGUAAAUUUAGGUAGCGUUUGGUUCAGGUAUAAGCAAUAACUAAUUGUUACAGGAAUAGGUACAAGUAUGGGAAUAAAAAAAAUAGCGUUUGAAUAAAAAUUAAAUUGUUUAUGGGAAUAAGAAAAAUAACGUUUGGAUAGAUAAUAUAGAAUAAGAAAAAUAGUGAAUGAUUUUAUAUAGAAAAUGGAGGUGUUGGUGGGGAUAGUUAUAUCAAUUUAUUUCAGGUACCUGAGAAUUAAUAUUCUCCGAUAAAAAAUUUGACGUUU
Molecule: long non-coding RNA, 473 nt
Filed under: Ananas comosus (pineapple)
Lineage: Eukaryota; Viridiplantae; Streptophyta; Magnoliopsida; Poales; Bromeliaceae
Description: long non-coding RNA (ACOM_LNC008051)
Source: RNAcentral